AUAUGCUUGUCCCGAAGAUUAAGCCAUGCAUGCCUCCGAUUUUGUAGCUUGAUUUAAAUCUGCGAUGGGCUCCGUACAACUGUUGCCACCCAGCAGCGCCCCGGGGGGACCCGUGUGGCCUCGUCAUCAACAAACGUAAGUAUAGCCUCUUCAACAAUCUGGAACGCAACGGCCUCGGCGGAUAACCGAGGUAAUUCUUUGGCUAAUACGUGCUUUGAAGACCAACGGAUGGGGUCUCUCACUGAGCUGGGCAUCCCUCGCGCACGCGGGGGAGUCAACUGCCCAAACGCCUGCAACAAGGCACCGUUGGGGCCGCCGAAACUGAACUCCGGUUCCCCCUUCCCCGCCCAGCCAGGCGGGGGGGGGGCGCCACGUGACGUGGAUGGCGAUACCCUACCGGCGUUCUUUCGUCGGUGCGAAUUGAGGGGCUUCCGACCUAUCAACUGGGAUGAAUGGAGCCCGGCUCCACAUGGUCGCAACGGGUACAGAGGAUUAGGGUUCGGUCCUGGAGAGGUAGCCUCAAAAAUCGCUACCACUUCUAAGGAAGGCAGCAGGCGCGCAACGUUCCCCAUGGGGAAGCCCUGAGGACGUGAAGGGACAUAGCAAUACCGGGCGAUUUAAAGCUUGGUAAUUGAAAUGGGGGCGAUUUAAAUCCCCCACCGAGUAACAAUUGGAGGACAAGUCUGGUGCCAGCACCCGCGGUAAUUCCAGCUCCAAUGGCAUCUCAUUAAGUUGUUGCAGUUAAAACGCUCGUAGCUAACCAAGGCCGUAACCCCUCGCCAGGACCCAGCGGGACGGCCCUGUGGCCCUGUUGGGCGCCGACCUAGGGCAGUAAAAUGCUCUGGGAAAGCGCCCUUCUCAGCGCGCCUAGGGCCACGGUACCGCCGGGAACCCUCCUUGGGGAAGCUGCCAAACCAGCCCCGGAUGCAAGUGCUCGCCGGGGUCCAGGCUUGCCUGCGCGUGUGGGCGUCUAAUCAACGCUCGCCCCUUCAAGCCUCCCGCCUGCGCCCAGCCGGGGCCCCUUACUUUGAGUAAAUUAGAGCGCUAAAAGCAGGUCGCCAAGAGGACCUAAUACACGUGAAUACUUCAGCAAAGAAUAGUCGAAUACGCCUAUUGUAUAGAACUGGUAUGCAAGCUAUGUGCCCCACUCCCCGACCUAGGUCCCCCCCCUCCCCCCCGCUGCUGCUUUCCCGCCCGCAAGGGCGGGUUAGCGCGUUGGGGGGACGGCGCGUGGGGGCGUGGGAAGGGCGGGGCACAAGGAAUGAUUUAUUGGGGAGAUCGGGGCAGGCCACAUGGCAGGGGUAGGGGUGAAAUCCGUUGAUCCUUGCUAGGUGAACAAAAGCGAAAGCAGCCUGCUAGUACUCUUUCUUAAGUCAAGAACGAAAGUCUGGGGAUCGAAGAUGAUCAGAUACCAUCGUAGUCCAGACCCUAAAUGAUGCCGACCAUGGAUGGACCGCCGUCCAUCCCGACCCGGGCCGCACCUUGCGAGAAAUCACAAGUCUAUGGGCUCCGGGGGGAGUAUGGUCGCAAGACUGAAACUUAAAGGAAUUGACGGAAAAGCACACAAGGAGUGGAGCCUGCGGCUUAAUUUGACUCAACACGGGGAAACUCACUAUGGUAAGAGAAGGGGAUGAAGGUCAGCCGAGCAGGGCUUACCUGAUUCCUUCAAUGGUGGUGCAUGGUCGUUCUUAGUUCGUGGAUUGAUUUGUCUGGUCUAUUCCGCUAACGAGCGAGAACCUGUCCUUCCUUGGUUAGGACCCCUGCGCUCGCAUGGGGAGCGAGGCGGCCUGCUGGGCGGGGGGUGGGGCGCGAGCCCCGCCUCCUGCUGGGCGGGCUGCCGAGCAACCCGAGCUGAGAAAUAGCGCCUGGAGCCAACCCAGGGGAACUUGUCCCGUCCAAGGGACCGUAAGCAGGUCAAUAACAGGUCAGUGAUGCCCUUAGAUACCUUAGGCUGCACGCGCGCUACAAUGGGGGGAAGAACGGGCUCCUUGUGCCUAGCAGGCGGCGGGAAACCCUGGGAAAGCCCCCCAUAUCCGGGAUUAUGGGGUGUAAACACCCCUUAUGAACAAGGAAUUUCUAGUAACCGCGCGUCACCAGCGCGCGGUGAUUU
This 2110-nucleotide ribosomal RNA is filed under the name Prototrichia metallica. RNAcentral describes it as "partial small subunit ribosomal RNA". It matches the Rfam family "Eukaryotic small subunit ribosomal RNA", at positions 26 to 1647 of the family's 1831-position model. Lineage: Eukaryota; Evosea; Eumycetozoa; Trichiida; Trichiidae. The record is from RNAcentral.